This 253-nucleotide ribosomal RNA is filed under the name uncultured bacterium. RNAcentral's name for it is "partial 16S ribosomal RNA". It matches the Rfam family "Bacterial small subunit ribosomal RNA", at positions 524 to 776 of the family's 1533-position model. The record is from RNAcentral.
UACGGAGGGUGCGAGCGUUGUUCGGAAUCACUGGGCGUAAAGGGCGUGUAGGCGGUCCGCUAAGUCUGAUGUGGAAGCCCGGGGCUCACCCCCGGAAGUGCAUUGGAAACUGGCGGACUCGAGUCCCGGAGAGGAGAGUGGAAUUCCUGGUGUAGCGGUGAAAUGCGUAGAUAUCGUAAGGAAGACCAGUGGCGAAGGCGGGUCUCUGGACAGUUCCUGACGCUGAGGCACGAAGGCCAGGGGAGCAAACGGG